RNAcentral lists this ribosomal RNA (497 nucleotides) under uncultured bacterium. Its description in RNAcentral is "partial 16S ribosomal RNA". It matches the Rfam family "Bacterial small subunit ribosomal RNA", at positions 28 to 507 of the family's 1533-position model. The record is from RNAcentral.
GAUGAACGCUGGCGGCGUGCCUAAUACAUGCAAGUCGAGCGAACAGACGAGGAGCUUGCUCCUCUGACGUUAGCGGCGGACGGGUGAGUAACACGUGGAUAACCUACCUAUAAGACUGGGAUAACUUCGGGAAACCGGAGCUAAUACCGGAUAAUAUAUUGAACCGCAUGGUUCAAUAGUGAAAGACGGUUUUGCUGUCACUUAUAGAUGGAUCCGCGCCGCAUUAGCUAGUUGGUAAGGUAACGGCUUACCAAGGCGACGAUGCGUAGCCGACCUGAGAGGGUGAUCGGCCACACUGGAACUGAGACACGGUCCAGACUCCUACGGGAGGCAGCAGUAGGGAAUAUUCCGCAAUGGGCGGAAGCCUGACGGAGCAACGCCGCGUGAGUGAUGAAGGUCUUCGGAUCGUAAAACUCUGUUAUUAGGGAAGAACAAAUGUGUAAGUAACUAUGCACGUCUUGACGGUACCUAAUCAGAAAGCCACGGCUAACUACGUG